Molecule: long non-coding RNA, 1427 nt
Filed under: Arabidopsis thaliana (thale cress)
Lineage: Eukaryota; Viridiplantae; Streptophyta; Magnoliopsida; Brassicales; Brassicaceae
Description: long non-coding RNA (ATHA_LNC000403)
Source: RNAcentral
UUUUCUAUAACAAUUUAUCUCUCCGUAAUCAAUGUCUUGUUAGGUUUAAACUCUCGGCAAACUAUUGAACUUCUCUCUUCUAUCCCUUUAAAGCAUGGACUCGUCUCUCCAUCAUUUCAUUAUAUUUGGAAGCGAGAUUCAUCCUCCAGAUUCAGAACAAGUGGAACUCUAAUCGUCAUCUCUCAGGCUAUAUCGUCCUUAGCCACGUCCUUUUCCAUGUCCAUAUUCUAUUGUUUGAUCAUCUGUCACAGGUUGAAGUCUCUCUUUUUGUUUUGAGUGUUUUUAUCAUGUUCAUAAAUUCAUGGUAUCAAUCAAGAAUCUCACGGUCACAUUCUCAAGCAGAGAAGCUAAACAUUGGUUGAUUAAACCAUAGAGUGACGCUCUUAUUUCAUUACAUGGUAGGGGCUUCUAUCUGAUGAUGUUCAUAGUGAUUCUUCUUUUAAUUUUGUUUGGUUUUGACGAAAUACAUAAUAAGUGUCUCCCAAGAUGUUUGUGAGUGUUUUUUUUUCUUAUCCUUUAGUCCAAAUUUUUCAUAACUUAAGAUCCAUCGAAUUUUGAUCUUGAAUAUGUAUGGUUUUGAGUGAGAUGUUUACCAUCGAAUACUCUUUUAUUCCUAGAUUCAUGGAUUGUAGGUUUAUAUAUUUACAAGCGUCGACUCUUUUAUGUCAAGGUUUACAUGAUAUUCUGGAAAACAAUUAUGUUUGUACGUUUUCUAUUCAUUCUCAUGAAUUCCCAGGUAAUGUUAGUUCAAACGCUAAUAUUCGGAAGACCUUAAAUCACUGGAGGUGACCAGCUUAACAAAUUACAUAUGCAUUGAUGGUGUUGGCCCCAAACAGAGGCAUUUCUGAUAUUACACCUAAUUAAAGAUAUGUAUGUAUGUUUAGUUUAUCUGCCUCUUUUAAAACAAUUUGCUUAUAAGAUCCUCUUGAAAAUCAAUUUUUAUUUUAUAUAUGUUUUUUUGCUGUUGUUGUUGACACCCAUAUUUCAAACUCACGCAAAUCCUCAACUGUUAGUUCAGCCGGUGAAGAUUUUAUCAUAUCGCUUAUGUUAUUUUUUAGUCUUUAUGGUGAUCGAGGGCCUACCAUUUUCGGUUCGAAUGGGAACUUUGGCUUCCAUGGGGAUUGCAAUAGAGGAAGCAUUCAAAAAGAAAAUUUGAUGCAUGGGUGUAUUGGUGUGUGGUGUGGUUAUAAAGUGGGAAAUUGAUGUAUGUUCUACUUACCAUCAGUCCCACAUGAAUUCAAGUGUUAAAUCAGAUUACCCCUAACCAUUUGAGUUCAGCAUAUUGCAUGAAACAUGAAAGCUUCUUUCGGGGAGAGAUGGUUUUGGUUUCUCGCUUUUAGUUUCUUAUAGUCAUGUUGAUCUUUGUUAGUCUAUCUUUUUGGUAUUCUUCUCAUUGGCUUCAAAGUAAAAUCAUAUCUUAAACUGUC